UACUACCGAAGCUACGGCAUCAGUAAUGAUGGGUAGGGGAGCUUCCCAUACGGGUUGAAGCAUGACCGUAAGGACAUGUGGACAGUAUGGGAGUGAGAAUGUUGGCAUGAGUAGCGAGAUGUGGGUGGGAAUCCCACAGGCCGUAAACCCAAGGUUUCCAGGGGAAGGUUCGUCCACCCUGGGUUAGUCGGGACCUAAGCUGAGGCCGAAAGGCGUAGGUGAUGGACAACAGGUUGAUAUUCCUGUACUACCGAUAACCGGUUGAGAGAAGGGAUGACACAGUAGGAUAAGCUAAGCACCCUGUUGGUUAUGUGUGCCCAAGCAUUGAGGCAGUCAA
This 337-nucleotide ribosomal RNA is filed under the name Clostridioides difficile. RNAcentral describes it as "bacterial LSU rRNA". It matches the Rfam family "Bacterial large subunit ribosomal RNA", at positions 1189 to 1531 of the family's 2925-position model. The record is from RNAcentral. Lineage: Bacteria; Bacillati; Bacillota; Clostridia; Peptostreptococcales; Peptostreptococcaceae.